UGCGUAGGCGGAAUGAUAAGUUAGUGGUGAAAGCCCCCGGCUCAACCAGGGAACUGCCAUUAAUACUGUCAUUCUUGAGUAUAGUUGAAGUGGGCGGAAUGUAUCAUGUAGCGGUGAAAUGCUUAGAUAUGAUACAGAACACCGAUAGCGUAGGCAGCUUGCUAAACUAUAACUGACGCUCAGGCACGAAAGCGUGGGGAGCAAACAGGAUUAGAUACCCUGGUAGUCC
RNAcentral lists this ribosomal RNA (229 nucleotides) under uncultured bacterium. Its description in RNAcentral is "partial 16S ribosomal RNA". It matches the Rfam family "Bacterial small subunit ribosomal RNA", at positions 568 to 796 of the family's 1533-position model. The record is from RNAcentral.